Long non-coding RNA from Oncorhynchus tshawytscha (Chinook salmon), 6062 nucleotides. Lineage: Eukaryota; Metazoa; Chordata; Actinopteri; Salmoniformes; Salmonidae. The record is from Ensembl.
UCUGUCUACUGGGAUCUGUAGACUGGGAUCUGUGAUCUGUAGACUGGGAUCUGGGAUCUGUGAACUGGGAUCUGUGGACUGGGAUCUGUGGACUGGGAUCUGUAGACUGGGAUCUGUGAACUGGGAUCUGUGGACUGGGAUCCUGCUUCAGGGAGAAAGGGGAAGACGGUCUGUAGGACACUGGCUCCUUCUGGAUGAAUAGAAACUCCAUCUGUUACAUACAGAACAGCUUGCUAACUUCUCCCUCACACACACACACACCACAUUACAGCUACUGUCUGUCUGUACACUGAGAGAACCCGCAUGGAAGAGCAGUCCAAGUGUGUGAACAAGUGAAUUUAGGAGAGACACUUAUCAACAUGUUGAUAAACAUGACUUUAUUAAGCCUCUGUCCAGUGCUAUUCAUUCCCUUUACUUGUGUCAUCAUAAUAAUAAUAAGGGCUUUUCUUCCUUGAUAAUCUGUGCCAUUUCAUAUGAUGUAGCUCCUCUCUUGUUCUGUGCUCCUCUCUGCCUGUUAAGUGGAACUGUGUUGGUGUAAUCAAGUAGUCUGGCCGGAACAGAGAUCUACUGUUACCGCGGUGCUGGGGACCUGGCUGCCUGUCUGUCACAAUAAAAGGCUUGUGUUGUGUGUAUCACUCCACCAGCUGAGAUGAGGCUUGUUCCAUGCUAGAGCCUGGUAGAGAAUCUUUACUAGAGCCUGCUACCUAUAAAAUUGUGCCUAGAGCCUGCUAGCUAUAGCAUUGUGACUAGAGCCUGCUAGCUACAAUAUUGUGACUAGAGCCUGCUAGCUACAACAUUGUGACUAGAGCCUGCUAGCUACUAUAUUGAAACUAGAGCCUGCUAGCUACAAUAUUGAGACUAGAGCCUGGUAGCUACAACAUUGUGCCUAGCAACAUUGUGCUAGCUACAAUAUUGUGACUAGAGCCUGCUAGCUACAAUAUUGUAACUAGAGCCUGCUAGCUACAAUAUUGUGACUAGAGCCGGCUAGCUACAAUAUUGAGACUAGAGCCUGGUAGCUACAAUAUUGUGACUAGAGCCUGCUAGCUACAAUAUUGAGACUAGAGCCUGGUAGCUACAACAUUGAGCCUAGCAACAUUGUGCUAGCUACAAUAUAGUGACUAGAGCCUGCUAGCUACAACAUUGUGACUAGAGCCUGCUAGCUACAACAUUGUGACUAGAGCCUGCUAGCUACACUACUGUUCAAAAGUUUGUGGUCACUUAGAAAUGGCCUUGUUUUCCAUGAAAACUUAACUGAAAUUAGUUGCCAAAUUAAUAAUUAUUUUAAUUGAAAAAAUAGUGUCCUUUUGCUUUUGUCAAAGAAUCCUCCAUUUGCAGCAAUUACAGCCUUGCAGACCUUUGUCAAUGUAGUUAUCAAUUUGUUGAGGUAAUCUGAAGAGAUUUCACCCCAUGCUUCCUGAAGCACCUCCCACAAAUUGGAUUGGCUUGAUGGGCACUUCUUACGUACCAUACGGUCAAGCUGCUCCCACAACAGCUCAAUAGGGUUGAGAUCUGGUGACUGUGCUGGCCAUACCAUUAUAGAAAGAAUACCAGCUGUCUGCUUCUUCCCUAAAUAGUUCUUGCAUAGUUUGGAGCUGUGCUUUGGGUCAUUGUCCUGUUGUAGGAGGAAAUUGGCUCCAAUUAAGUGCUGUCCACGGGGUAUGACAUACAAAAUGCAAAAUGGAAUGAUAGCCUUCCUUCUUCAAGAUCCCUUUUACCCUGUACAAAUCUCCCACUUUACCACCACCAAAACACCACCGAACAUCACAUUGCCUCCACCAUGCUUGACAGAUGGCGUCAUCACUCCUCCAGCGUCUUUUCAUUUUUUCUGCGUUUCAUGAAUGUUCUUUGUGAUCCGAACACCUCAAACUUAGAUUAGUCUGUCCAUAACACUUUUUUCAAAUCUUCCUCUGUCCAGUGUCUGUUAUUUUCCCAAUCUUAAUCUUUUCUUUUUAUUGGCCAGUUUGAGAGAUGGCUUUUUCUUUGUAACUCUGCCUAGAAGGCCAGCAUCCUGGAGUCGCCUCUUCACUGUUGAUGUUGAGACUGGUGUUUUGAGGGUACUAUUUAAUGAAGCUGCCAGUUGAGGACGUGUGCGGCAUCUGUUUCUCAAACUAGACACUCUAAUGUACUUGUCCCCUUGCUCACUUGUGCACCGGGGCCUCCCACUCCUAUUCUGGUAAGCGCCAGUUUGCACUGUUCUGUGAAGGGAGUAGUAAACAGCGUUGUACGAGAGCUUCAGUUUCUUGGCAAUUUCUCGCAUGGCCUUCAUGAAGAGCCAUUGCUUCAUUUCUCAGAACAAGAAUAGACUGACGAGUUUCAGAAGAAAGUCCUUUGUUUCUGGCCAUUUUGAGCCUGUAAUCGAACCCACAAGUGCAGAUGCUUCUUUAAUCAGGACAACAGUUUUCAGCUGUGCUAACAUAAUUGCAAAAGGCUAAUGAUCAAUUAGACUUUUUAAAAUUUUAAACCUGAAUUAGUUAACAAAACGUGCCAUUGGAACACAGGCAUGAUAGUUGCUGAUAAUGGGGCUCUGUACGCCUAUGUAGAUAUUCCAUUAAACUUUUGAACAGUAGUGUAUAGCAUCUUGACUAGAGCCUGCUCCCUAUAACAUCGUGACUGGAGCCUGCUGCCUGUAGCAUCGUGACUAGAGCCUGCUAGCUAUAGCAUCGUGACUAGAGCCUGCUACCUAUAACAACAUUGUGACUAGAGCCUGCUAGCUAUAGCAUCUUGACUUGAGCCUGCUAGCUAUAGCAUCUUGACUUGAGCCUGCUAGCAAUAGCAUCUUGACUAGAGCCUGCUAGCAAUAGCAUCUUGACUAGAGCCUGCUAGCUAUAGCAUCUUGACUAGAGCCUGCUAGCUAUAGCAUCUUGACUAGAGCCUGCUAGCUAUAGCAUCUUGACUAGAGCCUGCUAGCUAUAGCAUCUUGACUAGAGCCUGCUAGCUAUAGCAUCUUGACUAGAGCCUGCUAGCUAUAGCAUCUUGACUAGAGCCUGCUAGCUAUAGCAUCUUGACUAGAGCCUGCUAGCUAUAGCAUCUUGACUAGAGCCUGCUAGCUAUAGCAUCUUGACUAGAGCCUGCUACCUGUCAGAAUGAUAAAUCAUCUAGUUAGUUCAUUGUUACAUCAACACCAGUUCUGUUUCACAUUCUAACUGACAUUUUCCUCACAUUAUCAGUGUCUUGGUACACACAUUCAUUACUGUGACAUGGUACACACGUUCAUUACUGUGACAAAGUAACCUAUUUGUCUGUUGGUGUUGCCUCAACCCCUUGUCAUUUCCUGUAAUAAAGUGGACUGUGGGCGGGAGGAGAUUUUCCUCUGUUUCCCUAGCGUUGAGAGUUUAGCCUUAACUCUCCCAGCCCGAUGCUGUUGGUUAACUAGCGUUGAGAGUUUAGCCUUAACUCUCCCAGCCUGAUGCUGUUGGUUAACUAGCGUUAGGAGGGUCGUAAAGCAGACAGAUGGAAGCAUAGGACCGUGUGGCGGUUAUCAAACACUGGUUACAGCAGGACGUUUAGAGCAGAGAGAAGUGUGUGUACACCAAACUGGAGAGGUGUGUGUGUGUGUGUGUGUGUGUGUGUUCCUCUUUCUCCACCUGCAGAUCAGGUUAGAUCAGUUUUGUGAAAUUCGGAUGCAAAUUCUCUGCUUCUAUUUGCCUAUGAUUUGUCCAUAUUUCUCUGCAAUGAAAAUCCUUCUGCAAGUGUGUGUCAGUCAGGUACUGCAAUCAUGUCAGAGCUAACAGGCUACAGAGUGUCUGAUAAUAACAGCUAACCACUUCCUUCCUUCCCCACUUAAAAAGAGAGGUAGAAACUGUUCAUAGCUGCAGUAGUCGAGUGCACCAGUAGUCGAGUGCACCAGUAGUCGAGUGCACCAGUAGUCGAGUGCACCAGUAGUCGAGUGCACCUGGCCUGACUGCAUCAACAUGUCCGUUGCAUUCCAAAUGGCACCCUGUUCCCUACAUUGGGCCCUGUAGGCCCGGGUCCAAGAUAGGGUGCCAUUUGGGAUGCGGUUCUCACUCACCUCUAGGGCCCUCACUAGGACAGUCCAGCUGUCUCACUAUUGAACUGGACCGUUUUAGUGUUCAUUAGGGCACACCGUAGCAAAAUGUUUUGCAAUAGAAAAUUAACCUUUGUGUUGUUAUUGGAGACGUUCAGGUAGAAUCUCUCCAUUUUAAUUUGUUGUUGUUGAACCACACCGACGCAUCAGUUCUGCUGUGUUAAACCAGACGCUAACUGUGUUGUGGUCUGUAACAUGUUGAUGAUGCUUUGUGUCUGGACAUACAGACAGAGAAUAUCUGUUAAAAUGACUAUUUAAAUACACAAAGUGUUAAUGAAAGAUGUGUAUAAACGGGAUUGCAACUUUCACUGGGAACAGGGGGGACAUGUCCCCCCCCCACAUUCGGAAAUUGUAUUUUUGUCGUCCGCCCCCCAGUUUUAUCAUUGGAACGUGAUACUAAACGAGGCAACGGUGUGCUUUAGGACCAUGCGGAUGCCUCUGAGGUUGGGUAGGCUGUUUGGAGUGUUUAUCUGACUGGAUACAUUUUGUUUUUGAUAUUUCCUCCCCAACUUCUAAAACCAAAGAUUCGCCCCUGUGUAUAAAUAUGUGUGUUUGGCUUCAGAAAGAAAAGCAUUAUUGAAGAAGACGACUUCUUCACAGGUAUCUUAUCUGUACAGGGAUGCAUUAAGGUGGCUGACUGUUCCUUUUUUACCCUGUGUGAGAUUGGUCAUUUUUCUAGUGUGGGCAACAGUGAGUGAAUAUGCCAGUGAACAGACCUUAUUCCAGGUAUCUUAAUAGUGACGCCUAUAUUAAUUCUCAGUCAUAACUCAGUCUACGUCCCAAAUCGCAACAUAUUUCCUAUACAGUGACCUACUUUUUUACCAUAAUCCAUAGGGAAUAACCCGGGUCCAUUCAUCCCAAAUGGCACCCUAUUCCCUAUAUAGUGACCUACUUUUUACCAUAAUCCAUAGGGAAUAACCCGGGUCCAUUCAUCCCAAAUGGCACCCUAUUCCCUAUAUAGUGCACUAGGGACCAGAAGUACUGUAAAGGGAAUAGGGUGCCAUUUUGGAUGAAUCCUAAGACUGACCAAUGAGCAUCAAGUAAUGUAAUCACAAAUAACUUUGGUUAUGGAGCUCAGAGUUAUGAGAGCCUGCCAGACUUCUGGUCCUUCCUCCUUGAUUGGUUAAUCAAUGUAGAUAUCCAGGUAAAGGUCAAAUAUUCUGGCUCUGCUUCUUUGUUGAUUUGAAUCAUUGUACUUUUUCUAUCUGUUAUUAAAGGCUCUCUCUCUGAUUUCAGUCGAGCCAUAAAUAGUGUAAUUGUUUCAACAUUUUAUCUCCUAGAAAAGAAAAUGCUAACAGAAUUUAUUUGUUACAGUAUAGUCAUAGUAGCCUGGUUGACGAGACUAUAUUCACAGUUCUCUCUCCUUUAGCACUAACAGUCAAGUAUUCACAAUUACCCACGUUUAAAACCAUGAGGCUGCAAUGAAAGCAACAUGGAGGAUUCUGUUAUUUCCUACGUAUAUUCCUAUAUAUCAAUUACCCACAUUUAAAACCAUGAGGCUGCAAUGAAAGCAACAUGGAGGAUUCUGUUGCUAUUUCCUACGUAUAUUCCUAUAUAUCAAUUACCCACGUUUCCUAUAUUUGUGUUGAAGCUGUAUAUUAUCUCUUGCUAUUCUUUGUCUUUGUAUGAAUAAUGUAUGUUUACACGCUCUCCUUACUCUCCCAAAUAACUGCUCUGUUUUGUAAUAAAAUACAAGCUGACCAUCCUUACUCCACCCGUCUGGUAUGUUUCAGAGUCAUGUUGCUGUGUUUGUUUACUGACCGACUGUAUUCACCUGCUCUGUUUUGUAAUAAAAUACAAGCUGACCAUCCUUACUCCACCCGUCUGGUAUGUUUCAGAGUCAUGUUGCUGUGUUUGUUUACUGACCGACUGUAUUCACCUGCUCUGUUUUGUAAUAAAAUACAAGCUUACCAUCCUUACUCCACCCGUCUGGUAUGUUUCAGAGUCAUGUUGCUGUGUUUGCUUUCUGACCGACUGUAUUCACCUGAGGGAGGAGGACAGGCCCUGGGGGAGGACC